Molecule: unclassified non-coding RNA, 426 nt
Filed under: uncultured fungus
Lineage: Eukaryota; Fungi
Description: partial contains small subunit ribosomal RNA, internal transcribed spacer 1, and 5.8S ribosomal RNA
Rfam family: Eukaryotic small subunit ribosomal RNA (bases 1-73)
Source: RNAcentral
ACAAACUUGGUCAUUUAGAGGAAGUAAAAGUCGUAACAAGGUUACCGUAGAUGAAUCUGCGGUAGGAUCAUCAAAGAAAGCGCAGGUUUGGCGGUAGGGUGAAAAGCCCGAAGCCGAGCCUGCAUAUACACCAUACAUGUGAACCAGUAGCGCAGUGAGGCUAGUUUGGGGGUGCGGCUAUAGCGGGCGCGCUAUGCGCGUGUGUGUCUAGCUUGGCGGCCCGACCCAGGGCAGCCAGCCCCCAGACUGCAAUUGCAAACAAUGUAAACCUGUGGCCUAGUUUGAGUGUUGAUUGAAAAGAGCUGAAGCGCAGCGCACGCGCCGGUCUAGUGCCGCGUUGCGUGUGUGUGUGUCUGACGCGAUAAUAAUCUCAUCACAACUUUUAACAAUGGAUCUCUUGGCUCUCGCAUCGAUGAAGAACGCAGC